UAUUAUAUUAGUUGCCAAAUCCACAAUCUAUUAAACUACGCAGACCCUUUAGACUCUUAUUCUGUUUCUGAAAAACACUAUCAAUAUAUGGCUCUAUUGGGAAACCCAAAACAUAUGGCUCUUUCAUUGACGGAAACAGCGGCACGCUUAUUUGUUACUAGAUUUCUUAGACAAUAUAUAUCUACUGGAUGUUUAAUCUUAUUAGAAGAGGGAGGCACAAUGUUCACCUUUGAAGGAAGCAAAAAUGACUGUUCUCUAAAAUCCGUUCUUAAAGUUCACAGUCCUCAGUUUUAUUGGAAAGUAAUGACACAGGCUGAUCUAGGCAUUGCAGAUGCAUAUAUCAAUGGCGAUUUUUCUUUCGAUGAUAAAGACCGAGGUCUUCUAAAUCUUCUUAUGCUUCUCAUUGCCAACGGAGAUUCUGAUGCCUCAAAAUCAAACAAGAAAAGGGGAUGGUGGCAGCCUUUGUUUUUCAUAGCCACUAUAGCCUCAGCCAGAUACUUCUUUCAGAAUGCUUUUAGGCAAAAUAGUCUUGCACAGGCUCGAAGGAACAUAUCUAGUCAUUAUGAUCUGAGUAACGAACUAUUUUCGCUAUUCUUGGGCGAAACAAUGGUGUAUUCCACUGCAAUAUUUAAGACAGAAGAUGAGGAACUGAAUACUGCACAGCUUAGGAAAAUCUGUACUCUCAUUGAUAAGGCUAGAAUCGAUGAGAACCAUGAGGUUCUGGAUAUUGGAUGUGGUUGGGGUACCUUAGCUAUUGAAGCAGUCAAACAAACGGGUUGCAGAUACACUGGCAUCACUCUAUCUGAGGAACAACUUAAAUUUGCUGCAAAGAAAGUGAAAGAUGCUGGACUACAGCACCGGAUCAAGUUCCUUCUGUGUGACUACCGCCAAUUGCCUUCUGACCACAAAUAUGACAGAAUCAUAUCUUGCGAGAUGCUGGAACAUGUUUGCCAUGAAUUACUGGAUGAGUUUUUUUCAUGCUGCGAGUCUUUACUAGCAGAAAAUGGGGUUUUUGUUCUGCAGUAUAUAUCUAUACCGGAUGAACGCUAUGAUGAGUUCAGGCGAAGUUCAGGCUUCUUACAUGAAUAUAUAUUUCCUGGUGGAUGUCUACAUUCAUUAAGUAGGAUAACAUCAGCCAUGGCCUCUUCUUCAAGACUCUGUGUGGAGCACUUGGAAAACAUUGGAAUUCAUUAUUACCAAACACUAAGAUGUUGGAGAAAAAAUCUCUUAGAGAGACAGAGCCUUCAAAUCCCAGAUACAACCGCCGCCCACCUUGAAGAUCUCAACUCCAGGAGUCCAGAACCGGCCGGAAAACCACCGAACCGGCCACCAGAAGUAGCAAAAUUCCCUCUGCCCGGUUCAAAGCUUUCCUCACCACCUCCUACAGCCAUACUAGACCACCUGCAGCGUCUCCACCCCAGAAAUCCGGAACCGGAAAUUUCAUCACCAGAACCGGCCAAAAUUCCACCGAACCGGCCACCGGAAUCCUCCUAACCUGAACCGGCAGAAGAAGGAAAAAAAAAAAAAAAAAAAAAAGGGACCUGUGCAGCCCACCUGCUGUAGGCCCAAGCCCAUAGGUUGAGCCCACGUGCAGCAGGCCCCAACCCAAGCUGCCAAGCCACCAAGCCAAGCCGCCAAGCCGCAAGCCUCAAGCCGCCAAGAAACCUGCCACGUCAGCAAGCCACGCAGGCAUCCAGUCAGCAGCCACGUCAGCCACCUGUGCCACGUCAGCAGGCCGGUCAACCACAGGACAACGCCGGUCAACCCUCUGGUCAACGAUCAGUCAACGUCGGUCAACCAUUUUCUGGCGACUUUUCCGGCCGACUUCCGGCCACUUUCCGGCGACUUUUUCCGGCCAAAUUCCGGCGACUUUUUCCGGCCAAUUUUCCGACGACUUAUUUCGAGGAUGAGUAACCUGAACAAAUUGGACUUUACUCCAUUGGGAACAACUGGCUCUGAAUAUCACAGGUGGGUUCGUGAUGUCCGCCAGCAUCUCAAGGCCGAUGGAAUCCUGGAUACGAUUCUCGAGCCUAGCCAGGACGUGCUAACUGUUGAGCAAGCUCAAGCUUUGGAAGCAAAUAGAGCAGCCUUAGAGGCAAAUAAGGCGAAAGCCAUCAUCCUAAUGACUCAUCAUAUGGAUGAUUCGCUCCAGUACGAGUGUAUGAAUGAAGAAGACCCCAGAAGGCUAUGGGUCUCACUCAAAGAAAGAUUUGGCAACGUCUGUGACUCCUUCCUUGCUUCCUGACCUAGAAGUGAGAUGGCAUAGCCUCCGCUCCUAUGAUUUCAAGUCAGUUCUUGACUACAACUCGGAAGCACUUCGCAUUAAAUCCUUAAUGGAAUUCUGUGGUAAAGAGAUCACAAAUGCGAUGUUGAUUGAGAAGACUCUCUCUACCUUCCCCGUUUCUGCAUUGAUGGUUGCUAAGAACUAUCGAAUUGAUGUUACUGCAUGACGGAUCACAACGUUUCAUGAGCUCAUUGGAGCUAUGAAUGUCACUGAAAAGUAUGACAACAUCCUUGUGAAGAACUAUAAUUCGAGAUCCGUGGGAACAGAGCAUAUUCCGGAAUCCAAUUAUAGUUGCGCCCCUAAGAGGAGGCGCCAAGAGCGAAACCCUAACCUUAGGGAUACUUCUGGACGUUCUGGUCUAUAUAAUCGCUCUACUUGGGAAGGUAACCGCCAAUAUAGGCGAACACGGAACCGAAGAGGUGAACGUGGAAAGAGAGAGGGAGGCAACGCCUCUGGCCAUGUUGGUGGCGCCACCAACACUAAGAGCCAUCUAAAUGACGCUUUCAAAGCGCCUCAAUCAAUGGAGUUUGAGCAAAGAGAUGUAUGUUCUCAAUGUGGAGUGUCUGAUUAUUGGGCACACAUUUGUAGAGCUCGUGAAGAAACUGUCACCGCCUACAAAACAUAUUGUGAAGCAAGAGAAGCUCACUAUGUAGAACAAGAAGAUCAAGAAGAUGAUCUAGAGUGAAGGGUUGAAGACUACGAAUCUGGCUGGGAUCAAUAGAUCGCCAAUUCUGUUUAAGUCUUUAUUUUCCAAGAGAUGUAGGCAAUUGCCAUAUUAUUAUUUUUUUAGUAGAUGCCUAUGGUUUAGUCUUUCUUC
RNA transcript from Rosa rugosa (rugosa rose), 3101 nucleotides. RefSeq lists it as uncharacterized. The record is from RefSeq and is a predicted model, not a curated record. Lineage: Eukaryota; Viridiplantae; Streptophyta; Magnoliopsida; Rosales; Rosaceae. The transcript is spliced from 14 exons.